This 916-nucleotide ribosomal RNA is filed under the name uncultured bacterium. Its description in RNAcentral is "bacterial SSU rRNA". It matches the Rfam family "Bacterial small subunit ribosomal RNA", at positions 246 to 1155 of the family's 1533-position model. The record is from RNAcentral.
CUGUUGGUAAGGUAAAGGCUUACCAAGGCUUCGAUCAGUAGCUGGUCUGAGAGGACGGCCAGCCACACUGGGACUGAGACACGGCCCAGACUCCUACGGGAGGCAGCAGUGGGGAAUUUUGGACAAUGGGGGAAACCCUGAUCCAGCCAUGCCGCGUGAGUGAAGAAGGCCUUCGGGUUGUAAAGCUCUUUCAGCCGGAACGAAACGGUUACGGAUAAUACCCGUGACUACUGACGGUACCGGAAGAAGAAGCACCGGCUAACUACGUGCCAGCAGCCGCGGUAAUACGUAGGGUGCGAGCGUUAAUCGGAAUUACUGGGCGUAAAGCGUGCGCAGGUGGUUUUGUAAGUCAGAUGUGAAAGCCCCGGGCUCAACCUGGGAACUGCGUUUGAAACUACAAGACUAGAGUGUGGCAGAGGGGGGUGGAAUUCCGCGUGUAGCAGUGAAAUGCGUAGAGAUGUGGAGGAACACCGAUGGCGAAGGCAGCCCCCUGGGUUAACACUGACACUCAGGCACGAAAGCAUGGGGAGCAAACAGGAUUAGAUACCCUGGUAGUCCAUGCCCUAAACGAUGUCAACUAGUUGUCGGGCCUUUACGGGCUUGGUAACGUAGCUAACGCGUGAAGUUGACCGCCUGGGGAGUACGAUCGCAAGAUUAAAACUCAAAUGAAUUGACGGGGACCCGCACAAGCGGUGGAUUAUGUGGAUUAAUUCGAUGCAACGCGAAAAACCUUACCUACCCUUGACAUGUAUCGAAGCCCGCAGAAAAGCGGGGGUGCCCGAAAGGGAACGAUAACACAGGUGCUGCAUGGCUGUCGUCAGCUCGUGUCGUGAGAUGUUGGGUUAAGUCCCGCAACGAGCGCAACCCUUGUCAUUAAUUGCCAUCAUUUAGUUGGGCACUUUAAUGAGACUGCCGG